UAUCUUCAGGGCGGGGCGCAAUUCCCCACCGGCGGUAUAGUCCGCGAGCGCUUAGGCGUUGAUUCGGUGCAACUCCGGAACCGACAGUAUAGUCUGGAUGGAAGAAGAU
RNAcentral lists this non-coding RNA (109 nucleotides) under human gut metagenome. Its description in RNAcentral is "FMN riboswitch (RFN element)". It matches the Rfam family "FMN riboswitch aptamer (RFN element)". Rfam says of the family: The RFN element is a highly conserved domain that is found frequently in the 5'-untranslated regions of prokaryotic mRNAs that encode for flavin mononucleotide (FMN) biosynthesis and transport proteins. This element is a metabolite-dependent riboswitch that directly binds FMN in the absence of proteins. RNAcentral also lists the same sequence under 1 other name. The record is from RNAcentral.